AGAGUUUGAUCCUGGCUCAGGAUGAACGCUGGCGGCGUGCCUAAUACAUGCAAGUCGAGCGGUAAGGUCCCUUCGGGGAUACACGAGCGGCGGACGGCAGAGUAACGCGUAGGAACGUACCCCAAAGUGAGGGAUAACUGCUCGAAAGAGUAGCUAAUACCGCAUGUGGUCUUCGGAUUAAAGCUUUAUGCGCUUUGGGAACGGCCUGCGUAAGAUUAGCUUGUUGGUGAGGUAACGGCUCACCAAGGCGACGAUCUUUAGCUGGUCUGAGAGGAUGAUCAGCCAGACUGGAACUGAGAACGGUCCAGACUCCUACGGGAGGCAGCAGUAGGGAAUUUUCCACAAUGGACGAAAGUCUGAUGGAGCAACGCCGCGUGCAGGAUGAAGGGCUUCGGUUCGUAAACUGCUUUUAUAUGUGACGAUUAUGACGGUAGCAUAUGAAUAAGGAUCGGCUAAUUCCGUGCCAGCAGCCGCGGUCAUACGGAAGAUCCAAGCGUUAUCCGGAAUUACUGGGCGUAAAGAGUUGCGUAGGUGGCAUAGUAAGUAGAUAGUGAAAUGAUGCGGCUCAACCGUAUGUCCAUUAUCUAAACUGCUAAGCUAGAGGGCGAGAGAGGUUACUAGAAUUCCUUGUGUAGGAGUGAAAUCCGUAGAUAUAAGGAGGAAUACCGAUGGCGUAGGCAGGUAACUGGCUCGUCCCUGACACUAAGGCACGAAAGCGUGGGGAGCGACCGGGAUUAGAUACCCCGUUAGUCCACGCCGUAAACGAUGGAUGCUAGCUGUUAUGGGUAUCGACCCUCGUAGUAGCGAAGCUAACGCGUUAAGCAUCCCGCCUGUGGAGUACGAGCGCAAGCUUAAAACAUAAAGGAAUUGACGGGGACCCGCACAAGCGGUGGAGUGUGUUCU
Molecule: ribosomal RNA, 903 nt
Filed under: uncultured bacterium
Lineage: Bacteria
Description: bacterial SSU rRNA
Rfam family: Bacterial small subunit ribosomal RNA
Source: RNAcentral